AACCAUCUCCACCGCACCAUCACCACCACCACCAACAAGUAAGGCCCUCUUAUGAAACUUUUGUUUAUACAUACGAAAACAUCAAUCGAGUAUAGAUUCUUGAUAAAUAUGUGUGGAUGAACAUUAAUCUAUACUUAUUUCUUGUUGGGUUGCAAUGAUUUAUGCUAUUUGGAAAAAAAUUGAGAUUGAAAUUGGUUUUUUUUUUAUUCUUCGUUAUUCCGGAAAUCGGUUUAUACAAACUGAUUUAUUUUAAAAAAAAUCGGUGUUAUGAUGCUGAAAUUUGUUCACCAAAUAGGCUAUAGAACUUCAAUUUUACAAAAAAAAAAUGGCGUUGUAAUGUCGAUUAAUGAUUACAAAAUCGAGUUUAGUAUACCGAUUUUUUUCGUUUUUUUUUUUUAUAUAUAUUUGAUCAAUUGAUUUUUUUAAAUUUUUUUUAAAUGUCGAAGGCUACAACUGCGCAACUGAACGGAUACUUGACGCUCUUUCAUGCGUGGAUUUACGAGCAUUUCCCAUCCUUCAAUCCAACAUUUCGGCCAAAGUUUGAGGGGUACUUGGCCAACCGAUGGGUGUAUCCGAAGAAUUCGACGACAAGUGUGGAACGAGCACGGCAUUUGCGUUUGAUGUUAGACGAGUUGAAACCGGAUGAGGUAAAUUGUCAAUUGUUUGUUAAUUUUUUUUUUUCGAUUUUUGAAGGAGUUAAUAGUAAACAUAUUCGCGUAGGUUAUAUAGGACCCAUAUUUAGAACUUCGUGAUCGUUUCCCGAUGCCCGAAUCGGCGUGGUUCAGCGGAAUGCUAUGUUGCUUGGACUUCUUGCAGCCACACCAUCCAGAUAGGGUAUUGCGCCAGUUUAGUCGGGUCCAACAAAUACCGGGGUGUCCCUACAUGUCCGAAACUAUGGCGAAGCAAUACAUGGCGAAGAGAUACAGGUCACGUGAUAAUUCUGAAAUGUCAUUUGUCCCACUCCACGAUCGUUUAUUCGAUCGAUGGGAUGAGUAUUGCUUGGAUGCCGAGACGAGAUCGACUCCAGUACUUGAUGGGCAGCCCGAUACGUCUUCUGCGUAUAUGGAUUGGUUUAGAGAGCACACUCUUACUCGCCUUAGUACCGCUCAGGCAUCUCGACCACAUGCACCACGAUCCAAAGCAGCUCGACCACCGCAAGACGUUGGGACAGAUCCACCACAAUCAAGGGACAUGAAGAUCUUUGACAUGGUUAAGGGAACUCUCACCAACGUACGUCAAAUGGACGUUAGUGAUGCUCAUAGUACAAUGUGGUCGACGUUGAAUGAGAUCUUAGCAUUAUUUGAUGAGACCCCGUCGACCAUCCUGCCGUCGUCAUCAGCUCCUACACCGACAUCCUCACCACCGGCACCAUCGGCACCAUCUUCAACAUUGGCCCCACCUGCAGACCAACCACGUAAGGUCUUUCGGAGGAGGACGGCGAUGAAGAAGUAGUAUUUUAUAUUUUGUAGUAUUUUGCUAAGACAAUUUCACUAUGCAUAGUAUUUAUAGGUUUUAUUUAUCUUUUUUGGACUUGAUCAAUUGGAUUGCAAAUUGAUUUCUAUUUCAUUUUGAUGGUUUUAUUAUGCUAUUAAUGAUAUAUUUAUCGCACAUGAUAGUAAUCAUACAUUGGAAAAAAAAAUAAAAAAAAUAAAAAAAAAACGAAAACAGAUAGAUAUCGGUACUAGAGAACCGAUUUUUCUUUACAAAAUCGGUUUUCAAGUACCGAUAUAUCACGGUUUUUCCAAAAAAAAAUUAACAAAAAAACCGUGAAAUAUCGGUUCUUGAAAACCGAUUUUUCAUUAAAAAAUCGGUUUUCCUAUACCGAUUUACAACUUUUUUUUUUAAAUUUUGGAAAAACAGAAAAAUAUCGGUGCUAGAGAACCGAUUUUUCAAAGAAAAAUCGGUUUUCUAGAACCGAUUUUUUAUUUCAAAAUCGGUUCUCUAGCACCGAUAUAUGUCUAUUUUUUUUUUUUUUUUUUGUUUCGAAACUUUGGUCUCAUGGUAACUUUUUAACUUUUUUUAAAACCCGUGAGAUAUCGGUUCUAGAGAAUCGAUUUUUAAUUCAUGAAUCCGAUAUGUCAUUGUUUUUCGCUUUUUUUUUUUUUAUGUUUUUUCCAACUCGUUAUACACAUUAUUCUAAGGUGUAAUACAACUUUAGAGGUAUGCUUCAUACAUAUAUAUGUUCCAAGUCUCUCUUUCAAUUGCAAUUUCUGACGAUAAUUGUAAAUUGUCCUCAUUCCAGCUACAUUCGUCUCGUCCCUUAUCUUCAAUGAUUUGAGAAUCGCCUUCGGCUUUGCCAUUGCUUUAGACAUUCCUUCAACAAGUACCAUCUCUUCUUUUGUUAGUCUCCCGGCAUAAGAGUGGCCGUGCAAGUUCUCAAAAUCCGUGUGGGUGUGAGUACCACAUUGAACUUUUAAAUCCCACCCAACAUUAUCAGUAUCCUUUCCUUGUUUUGUCCCAUUUAAUCUAAAUGUGCAAUUACAUUUUUUAGAACCCGUCUUCCUCUUUCCCUCUCCUUGGUCAUCCUCACCGGCUUUCUUCUUCCCACGAUAUUCACCCGCACGUUCGCAUGCGAGUAUUACAUACGGUCUUCUACGCCCUUUCAAUCCCGGAUUUCAAACGAAAGUGUUUAUCACCAUUCCGUGGCGUCUACCAACACCUUUAACCCACUCAAGUAGAGCUUCUCGUGUCUCAAAUAUUUGUUCCAUAGAAAAUUCAUCCGAAUAAUCCUCCAUCAAUCCCCUAGGUUGCUGCAAGAAAGUACGGGAAAACGGUCUUAAAAAAACAUAUAUAAUAAAAUCGGUUCUCAAAAACCGAUUUUAUGUAGUCUAAAUCGGCAUGAUAACACCGGUUAUAGACAAAAAAUCGGCUUUGUCAUGCCGGUUUUUACUACACAAAUCGGGUAUUGAGUACCGAUUUGUAUUCCAAUAAUCGGACUAUAGUUGCCGAUUUUUGCAACAAAAGUCGGUUUAUAAAUACCGAUUUUUUGUGUCGUCGAUUUUUUUUCCAACAAAAAGAAAACGACCCAAAAGCAAAAAUAAACGGUCAAAACAUACCUUAUUGUGUUCUCCACCCUCGUAAACCACCAUAUCAUUGUUUUCUGGCUCCAUCUUGAAUGUUUGGUGUGUAUUUGAUAAUUUCGACGUGUAGGGUUUCUUGGUGGCUUUGUGAAGAAGAAGGAGGAGAUUUUUAAGUCGUGAAAUAAUGAAAGGAGAUUUCUAGGGUUAUGUAUUUUAUUUGGUCUUGCACAAAGGAAAUAUAUUUUUAUUUUUUUAAUAUUUUGUGUUUUUUAUUUACUUUUGAAUUUCAUUAAGGGUAAAUUAGUAUUUUCAUGUUAGAGGUCUUGAACUAAU
Molecule: long non-coding RNA, 3353 nt
Filed under: Erythranthe guttata (spotted monkey flower)
Lineage: Eukaryota; Viridiplantae; Streptophyta; Magnoliopsida; Lamiales; Phrymaceae
Description: long non-coding RNA (EGUT_LNC003247)
Source: RNAcentral